UACGUAGGGUGCGAGCGUUGUCCGGAAUUACUGGGCGUAAAGAGCUCGUAGGUGGUUUGUCGUGUUGUUCGUGAAAACCGGGGGCUUAACCCUCGGCGUGCGGGCGAUACGGGCAGACUUGAGUACUGCAGGGGAGACUGGAAUUCCUGGUGUAGCGGUGGAAUGCGCAGAUAUCAGGAGGAACACCGGUGGCGAAGGCGGGUCUCUGGGCCGAUAUUGACGCUGAGGAGCGAAAGCGUGGGGAGCGAACAGG
This 253-nucleotide ribosomal RNA is filed under the name uncultured bacterium. RNAcentral describes it as "partial 16S ribosomal RNA". It matches the Rfam family "Bacterial small subunit ribosomal RNA", at positions 524 to 776 of the family's 1533-position model. The record is from RNAcentral.